Molecule: ribosomal RNA, 726 nt
Filed under: uncultured fungus
Lineage: Eukaryota; Fungi
Description: eukaryotic LSU rRNA
Rfam family: 5.8S ribosomal RNA (bases 301-454)
Source: RNAcentral
CUUGGUCAUUUAGAGGAAGUAAAAGUCGUAACAAGGUUUCCGUAGGUGAACCUGCGGAAGGAUCAUUAUUGAAUAAAUUUGGUUGGGCUGUUGCUGGCUCCUAGGAGCAUGUGCACGCCUAGCUCCAUUUUUACCACCUGUGCACCUUUUGUAGACCUGGAUAUCUUUCGAGGAAACUCGGUUUGAGGACUGCUGAGCGAAAGCCCUAGCUUUCCUUACAUUUCCGGUCUAUGUCUUUACAUACCCCAUAUGAAUGUAACAGAAUGUCGUUUACUGGCCUUUGUGCCUUUAAUCAAAUACAACUUUCAGCAACGGAUCUCUUGGCUCUCGCAUCGAUGAAGAACGCAGCGAAAUGCGAUAAGUAAUGUGAAUUGCAGAAUUCAGUGAAUCAUCGAACCUUUGAACGCACCUGGCGCUCCCUGGUAUUCCGGGGAGCAUGUCUGUUUGAGUGUCAUUAAAUUCUCAACCUUUCCAACUUUUGCGAGUUUGGUUAGGCUUGGAUGUGGGGGUUGCGGGCUUCACAGAAGUCGGCUCCUCUGAAAUGCAUUAGUGAAACCUUUGUUGAUCAUCUCUUGGUGUGAUAAUUAUCUACGCCACUAGAGUGUCAGCCUCAACUAGUUGAGAGGUUUUUGCUUCUAAUCGUCCUCCAAGGACAACUUCUUUACUUUUUGACCUCAAAUCAGAUAAGACUACCCGCUGAACUUAAGCAUAUCAAUAAGCGGAGGA